This 730-nucleotide ribosomal RNA is filed under the name uncultured bacterium. RNAcentral's name for it is "bacterial SSU rRNA". It matches the Rfam family "Bacterial small subunit ribosomal RNA", at positions 771 to 1501 of the family's 1533-position model. The record is from RNAcentral.
AACAGGAUUAGAUACCCUGGUAGUCCACGCCGUAAACGAUGUCGACUUGGAGGUUGUGCCCUUGAGGCGUGGCUUCCGGAGCUAACGCGUUAAGUCGACCGCCUGGGGAGUACGGCCGCAAGGUUAAAACUCAAAUGAAUUGACGGGGGCCCGCACAAGCGGUGGAGCAUGUGGUUUAAUUCGAUGCAACGCGAAGAACCUUACCUGGUCUUGACAUCCACGGAAGUUUUCAGUGAUGAGAAUGUGCCUUCGGGAACCGUGAGACAGGUGCUGCAUGGCUGUCGUCAGCUCGUGUUGUGAAAUGUUGGGUUAAGUCCCGCAACGAGCGCAACCCUUAUCCUUUGUUGCCAGCGGUCCGGCCGGGAACUCAAAGGAGACCGCCAGUGAUAAACUGGAGGAAGGUGGGGAUGACGUCAAGUCAUCAUGGCCCUUACGACCAGGGCUACACACGUGCUACAAUGGCGCAUACAAAGAGAAGCGACCUCGCGAGAGCAAGCGGACCUCAUAAAGUGCGUCGUAGUCCGGAUUGGAGUCUGCAACUCGACUCCAUGAAGUCGGAAUCGCUAGUAAUCGUGGAUCAGAAUGCCACGGUGAAUACGUUCCCGGGCCUUGUACACACCGCCCGUCACACCAUGGGAGUGGGUUGCAAAAGAAGUAGGUAGCUUAACCUUCGGGAGGGCGCUUACCACUUUGUGAUUCAUGACUGGGGUGAAGUCGUAACAAGGUAACC